GACGAACGCUGGCGGCGUGCUUAACACAUGCAAGUCGAACGGAAAGGCCCUGCUUUUGUGGGGUGCUCGAGUGGCGAACGGGUGAGUAACACGUGAGUAACCUGCCCUUGACUUUGGGAUAACUUCAGGAAACUGGGGCUAAUACCGGAUAGGAGCUCCUGCUGCAUGGUGGGGGUUGGAAAGUUUCGGCGGUUGGGGAUGGACUCGCGGCUUAUCAGCUUGUUGGUGGGGUAGUGGCUUACCAAGGCUUUGACGGGUAGCCGGCCUGAGAGGGUGACCGGCCACAUUGGGACUGAGAUACGGCCCAGACUCCUACGGGAGGCAGCAGUGGGGAAUAUUGCACAAUGGGCGGAAGCCUGAUGCAGCAACGCCGCGUGCGGGAUGACGGCCUUCGGGUUGUAAACCGCUUUCGCCUGUGACGAAGCGUGAGUGACGGUAAUGGGUAAAGAAGCACCGGCUAACUACGUGCCAGCAGCCGCGGUGAUACGUAGGGUGCGAGCGUUGUCCGGAUUUAUUGGGCGUAAAGGGCUCGUAGGUGGUUGAUCGCGUCGGAAGUGUAAUCUUGGGGCUUAACCCUGAGCGUGCUUUCGAUACGGGUUGACUUGAGGAAGGUAGGGGAGAAUGGAAUUCCUGGUGGAGCGGUGGAAUGCGCAGAUAUCAGGAGGAACGCCAGUGGCGAAGGCGGUUCUCUGGGCCUUUCCUGACGCUGAGGAGCGAAAGCGUGGGGAGCGAACAGGCUUAGAUACCCUGGUAGUCCACGCUGUAAACGGUGGGUACUAGGUGUGGGGUCCAUUCCACGGGUUCCGUGCCGUAGCUAACGCUUUAAGUACCCCGCCUGGGGAGUACGGCCGCAAGGCUAAAACUCAAAGGAAUUGACGGGGCCCCGCACAAGCGGCGGAGCAUGCAGAUUAAUUCGAUGCAACGCGUAGAACCUUACCUGGGUUUGACAUGGAUCGGGAGUGCUCAGAGAUGGGUGUGCCUCUUUUGGGGUCGGUUCACAGGUGGUGCAUGGCUGUCGUCAGCUCGUGUCGUGAGAUGUUGGGUUAAGUCCCGCAACGAGCGCAACCCUUGUUCACUGUUGCCAGCACGUUAUGGUGGGGACUCAGUGGAGACCGCCGGGGUCAACUCGGAGGAAGGUGGGGAUGGCGUCAAGUCAUCAUGCCCCUUAUGUCCAGGGCUUCACGCAUGCUACAAUGGCUGGUACAGAGAGUGGCGAGCCUGUGAGGGUGAGCGAAUCUCGGAAAGCCGGUCUCAGUUCGGAUUGGGGUCUGCAACUCGACCUCAUGAAGUCGGAGUCGCUAGUAAUCGCAGAUCAGCAACGCUGCGGUGAAUACGUUCCCGGG
This 1343-nucleotide ribosomal RNA is filed under the name uncultured bacterium. Its description in RNAcentral is "16S ribosomal RNA". It matches the Rfam family "Bacterial small subunit ribosomal RNA", at positions 28 to 1378 of the family's 1533-position model. The record is from RNAcentral.